AUUGAACGCUGGCGGCAUGCUUUACACAUGCAAGUCGAACGGUAACAGCACUUCGGUGGCUGACGAGUGGCGAACGGGUGAGUAAUGUAUCGGAACGUGCCCAGUAGUGGGGGAUAACUACUCGAAAGAGUGGCUAAUACCGCAUGAGAUCUCUGGAUGAAAGCGGGGGACCGUAAGGCCUCGCGCUACUGGAGCGGCCGAUAUCAGAUUAGGUUGUUGGUGGGUAAAGGCCUACCAAGCCUGCGAUCUGUAGCUGGUCUGAGAGGACGACCAGCCACACUGGGACUGAGACACGGCCCAGACUCCUACGGGAGGCAGCAGUGGGGAAUUUUGGACAAUGGACGCAAGUCUGAUCCAGCAAUGCCGCGUGCAGGACGAAGGCCUCGGUUGUAACUAGCUUUG
Molecule: ribosomal RNA, 402 nt
Filed under: uncultured bacterium
Lineage: Bacteria
Description: bacterial SSU rRNA
Rfam family: Bacterial small subunit ribosomal RNA
Source: RNAcentral